RNAcentral lists this transfer RNA (73 nucleotides) under Myoviridae sp. ctNQV2. RNAcentral's name for it is "tRNA-Asp". It matches the Rfam family "tRNA". Rfam says of the family: Transfer RNA (tRNA) molecules are approximately 80 nucleotides in length. Lineage: Duplodnaviria; Heunggongvirae; Uroviricota; Caudoviricetes. The record is from RNAcentral.
GGAGUAUAGGUCAAACGGUUAAGAUGUCUCCCUGUCACGGAGAACGGAGUGGGUUCGACUCCCAUAUAUUCCG